RNAcentral lists this ribosomal RNA (463 nucleotides) under uncultured bacterium. RNAcentral describes it as "partial 16S ribosomal RNA". It matches the Rfam family "Bacterial small subunit ribosomal RNA", at positions 28 to 507 of the family's 1533-position model. The record is from RNAcentral.
GAUGAACGCUGACAGAAUGCUUAACACAUGCAAGUCGAUGGGGAAGUGGUGCUUGCACCAUGGUAACCAUGGCGGACGGGUGAGUAACGCGUAAGGAACUUGCCUGCGGGACUGGGAUAACAGCAGGAAACUGCUGAUAAUACCGGAUAAGGUCAUUAAGCUGCAUAGCUUAGUGAUGAAAGGAGACGCCUGCGGAGAGCCUUGCGUCCUAUUAGCUAGUUGGAGGGGUAACGGCCCACCAAGGCGAAGAUAGGUAGCCGGCCUGAGAGGGUGGACGGCCACAAGGGGACUGAGAUACGGCCCUUACUUCUACGGGAGGCAGCAGUGGGGAAUAUUGGACAAUGAGGGCAACCCUGAUCCAGCAAUUCUGUGUGCACGAAGACGGUUUUCGGAGUGUAAAGUGCUUUCAGCAGGGAAGAAGGAAGUGACGGUACCUGCAGAAGAAGCGACGGCUAAAUACGUG